Molecule: small nuclear RNA, 21 nt
Filed under: Arabidopsis thaliana (thale cress)
Lineage: Eukaryota; Viridiplantae; Streptophyta; Magnoliopsida; Brassicales; Brassicaceae
Description: snRNA_17964
Source: RNAcentral
CGAACCGGGAAGAGCCCAGCU